RNAcentral lists this ribosomal RNA (464 nucleotides) under uncultured bacterium. Its description in RNAcentral is "partial 16S ribosomal RNA". It matches the Rfam family "Bacterial small subunit ribosomal RNA", at positions 28 to 506 of the family's 1533-position model. The record is from RNAcentral.
GACGAACGCUGGCGGCGUGCUUAACACAUGCAAGUCGAACGGAAAGGCCCCCUUGUGGGGUACUCGAGUGGCGAACGGGUGAGUAACACGUGAGUAACCUACCCUUGACUUUGGGAUAACUUCAGGAAACUGGGGCUAAUACCGGAUAGGAGCUCCUGCUGCAUGGUGGGGGUUGGAAAGUUUCGGCGGUUGGGGAUGGACUCGCGGCUUAUCAGCUUGUUGGUGGGGUAGUGGCUCACCAAGGCUUUGACGGGUAGCCGGCCUGAGAGGGUGACCGGCCACAGUGGGACUGAGAUACGGCCCAGACUCCUACGGGAGGCAGCAGUGGGGAAUAGUGCACAAUGGGCGGAAGCCUGAUGCAGCAACGCCGCGUGCGGGAUGACGGCCUUCGGGUUGUAAACCGCUUUCGCCUGUGACGAAGCGUGAGUGACGGUAAUGGGUAAAGAAGCACCGGCUAACUACGU